RNAcentral lists this ribosomal RNA (293 nucleotides) under uncultured bacterium. Its description in RNAcentral is "partial 16S ribosomal RNA". It matches the Rfam family "Bacterial small subunit ribosomal RNA", at positions 775 to 1067 of the family's 1533-position model. The record is from RNAcentral.
GGAUUAGAUACCCUGGUAGUCCACGCCGUAAACGAUGUCUACUAGUUGUUGGGGAACUUGAUUCCUUAGUAACGAAGCUAACGCAAUAAGUAGACCGCCUGGGGAGUACGGCCGCAAGGUUAAAACUCAAAUGAAUUGACGGGGGCCCGCACAAGCGGUGGAGCAUGUGGUUUAAUUCGAUGCAACGCGAAGAACCUUACCAUCCCUUGACAUCCUGCGAACUUGGUAGAGAUACCUUGGUGCCUUCGGGAACGCAGUGACAGGUGCUGCAUGGCUGUCGUCAGCUCGUGCUG